Lytechinus variegatus (green sea urchin) is the source of this 73-nucleotide non-coding RNA. The record is from the annotation of a RefSeq genome assembly. Lineage: Eukaryota; Metazoa; Echinodermata; Echinoidea; Temnopleuroida; Toxopneustidae.
GGGGGUAUAGCUCAGUAGGCAGAGCAGUCGACUCAAGAUCGGAAGGUCCCGGGUUCGAUCCCCGAUGCCUCCA